CAGGGGGCCCGAGCGUUAUCCGGAUUUACUGGGCGUAAAGCGUGCGUAGGUGUCUUGUUAAGUCUUCGGUGAAAUCUCCGGGCCCAACCCGGAACCCGUCGAAGAAACUGGCAGGAUUGAGUCUGACAGAGGCAGAUGGAAUUUGUGGUGUAGCGGUAAAAUGCGUAGAUAUCACAAAGAACACCAGUGGCGAAGGCGAUCUGCUGGGUCAGUACUGACACUGAGGUACGAAAGCGUGGGGAGCGAACGGGAUUAGAUACCCCGGUAGUCCACGCCGUAAACGAUGGGUGCUAGGCAUUCGGGGUAUAGAUCCCCUGGGUGUCGCAGCUAACGCGAUAAGCACCCCGCCUGGGGAGUACGGUCGCAAGACUA
RNAcentral lists this ribosomal RNA (372 nucleotides) under uncultured organism. RNAcentral's name for it is "bacterial SSU rRNA". It matches the Rfam family "Bacterial small subunit ribosomal RNA", at positions 526 to 896 of the family's 1533-position model. The record is from RNAcentral.